GAUGAACGCUGGCGGCGUGCCUAAUACAUGCAAGUCGAGCGAACGGACGAGAAGCUUGCUUUUCUGAUGUUAGCGGCGGACGGGUGAGUAACACGUGGAUAACCUACCUAUAAGACUGGGAUAACUUCGGGAAACCGGAGCUAAUACCGGAUAAUAUUUUGAACCGCAUGGUUCAAAAGUGAAAGACGGUCUUGCUGUCACUUAUAGAUGGAUCCGCGCUGCAUUAGCUAGUUGGUAAGGUAACGGCUUACCAAGGCAACGAUGCAUAGCCGACCUGAGAGGGGGAUCGGCCACCCGGGAACUGAGACACGGUCCAGACUCCUACGGGGGGCAGCAGUAGGGAAUCUUCCGCAAUGGGCGAAAGCCUGACGGAGCAACGCCGCGUGAGUGAAGAAGGUCUUCGGAUCGUAAAACUCUGUUAUUAGGGAAAAACAUAUGUGUAAGUAACUGUGCACCUCUUGACGGUACCUAAACAAAAAGCCACGGCUAACUACGU
Molecule: ribosomal RNA, 496 nt
Filed under: uncultured bacterium
Lineage: Bacteria
Description: partial 16S ribosomal RNA
Rfam family: Bacterial small subunit ribosomal RNA
Source: RNAcentral